Molecule: RNA transcript, 3782 nt
Organism: Fundulus heteroclitus (mummichog)
Lineage: Eukaryota; Metazoa; Chordata; Actinopteri; Cyprinodontiformes; Fundulidae
Gene name: kinesin-like protein KIFC3
Exons: 21
Source: RefSeq, a predicted model, not a curated record
CUGAGCAUGCUCCAUGGAGCUUGUGGAAGGAGCAGAGGGGAAAGAAGGAGAGAAGGAAGGGGAGGAGAAAGGAUGAAGAAAGGAUGAAGAGAGCAGAAUGAGUCUCGCAGUGCAGGGGUGCUUUGGCAGCCCCCGAGAAAAGGAGCUGCACGGCAGGAGUUGGGACUGACAACGCAGAUGCAGCGUGACAUCGGAAUACAAAGGGCUGGAAUUACAUGUGCCUAUUAUCAGGAAGGAGAAGUCAUUUGACGAGGAGCUCUCUGACAGCUUGGAGAUGUACGCCUUUUAUUCCCUUUUGGUCUACAUCUUCUACACUGUGUUCAGGAAGGAGGAAGAGGAGGAAGCCCUGGAGGGAGCCUGUAGAGAUUCCACAGAUGAGCCAGGACCUGUUUCCAUGGAAACAGGGAGCAGGAGAAAGGAUGGCCACGCCCCCAGAGCAAGAAAAAAAUCUUGUGCUCGAUUUAGUGAAUCAAGCAGCAGCUGCAGUGACAGCGAUGAACUGAGCGAUGAGGAUGAGGCUGGUGCCUCGGACAUCCCCGCCUGCACUCCUCUGGCGGCCUUUUUGUCUUUCAAGCAGGAGACCGAGAAGAGGAGAGCCUCCCAAGUUCCUCCGGAGGCAGCAGGGAAGUUGCCGGAGUCUCCCCUGGUGGCAGUGAUGUCCCACUUGCUGAGCUUUCUGGAGCAGUACUCCCACUUCCAGCAGCUGCAGCAGCAGGCCGACCAGUACCGGGUCCAGCUGAAGAGGCACCGCGUCCAGCACCGCCGGCAAAUGAAGGCCCUUCGGGCUUCCUACCGCCAGCGCAUCCGAGACAAGAACAGCAUCAUAAGUAGCCUGGAGGAGGCCAUCGGUCAGCAGCAGAGUCCCAGCCCACGGAGUGAGGGUGAGUCUAGCGGUGACGUAGGGACUCCAUCUGGAGUCCACAGGCUGGUGGAGUCUCUGUAUGGGCUGCAGGGUGAGAGGAGUAAACUGAGAGGAGAGCUCCGUCUGCUGCAUUCACAGCUGGAGCAAAAAGAAAGAGACCGGCAUAGCCGAAUACAGGCCUUUCAGGAGCAGAUUGAUGAACUAAAGAGCUGCAUAGAGGAGCGUGAGGAGGAGCUGUUGAGACUGAGAACAGCCACUGGGGCCACGGACUCAGAGAAGCGAGUUCUCUGUCUGGCAGCUGAGAACGAGAGCCUGAAACAGAGCCUGGGCGUUACGCAAGGCCUCCUGCAGCAGCUCUCGUCCAUCCCGUCCCAGUCCAGCACCGUGCUCAUCAAGGAGAACGAGAGCCUUCGAGGCAGGGUUCAGCAGCUGGAGAUCUCCCUGCAGCAGCGGGCCGAGCAGCUCUCGCAGCUGGAGAGGAAGAGUGAGCAGAGGGAGUGGAGAAGAGGAGAGGAGCUGAGAAAGCGAGAAGACAGAGUGAGGGAGCUGGAGUUGGAGCUGAAUAAAGAAAGAGGCAAGGAGCCAGUUGUGAAGUACGUCACACAGACGGUGGAGGUGGAAUCGCCAGCCACAGUGAAGCAGCUGACCAAAGCCAGGCAGAGGAACGAGGUGCUGUCUGAAAGGCUGUGCGGUCAGAAUGAGAGGUGCAAGCAGCUGGAGGAGCAGAUCAGGAAGUCAGAUGAAUACAGCUGCAACCUGCAGCACAAGAUUGCGGCGUACGAGCGAGAAAUCUGCAAACUCCGGGAGGAACUGCUGAAGGAGAUCGGCCACUUGGAGGAGAGGAAGGAGGAGGCCGUGAGAGCCGCCGCCAGCUGUUCUGCUGAACACUUCCAGAGCCUGCAGGAGCAAUUCUUCACUCUGCAGAAGCGUCUAACAGCCCUCCCUCCGUCCCUGCGCUCCAUGAAGACCGACUACGCCAGUCUGAGGAGUCAGGUUCGAAACUUCUCCGAGUUUUACGGCGCAGCUAUCAGCGACGCCAAAAAGCAGAUUUCAGCCGCCAUCAGCGAGAUGUCUGAAGCCAACAGGGAUCUUCUGGAGAAAUACAGGAAAGAAGUGGCGCUGCGUAGGAAGUUACACGAGCAGCUGGUGGAGCUGAAAGGCAACAUCCGUGUGCUCUGCCGGGUCAAGCCCGUGCUGAAGGAGGACCAGCACGAGGAAGGUCAGUCUGCUGUGGUGACGACUGACCCCAACAACGAGUCCUCCCUCACUGUGCUGAGCAAGGGAAAGGAUCGCAGCUUUGAGCUGGACAAGGUCUUCCAGCCGCAUGCCACUCAGGACGAGGUCUUCCAGGAGAUCGAACCUCUUGUGACGUCUUGCAUUGAUGGCUACCAUGUUUGCAUAUUUGCAUACGGGCAGACAGGCUCUGGAAAAACCUACACCAUGGAGGGAAGUGUGGACAACCCAGGAAUUAACCAGCGAGCUCUGAAACAUCUCUUUAGCGAGAUAGAAGAAAGGAAGGACAUGUGGUCAUACACAGUCACAGUCAGCUCUGUGGAGAUCUACAAUGAGGUGCUGAGAGACCUGCUGAGUAAGGAUGGAGAAAAGUUGGAUAUAAAGAUCAACCCAGAUGGAACGGGACAGCUGCAUGUACCGGGCCUCAGGGUUAUAGAAGUGAGGAGCUUCCAGCACAUCAAGAAGAUUUUGGCCACAGCUCGACGGAACAGGAUCACCUUCGGGACUCAGAUGAACCAGCACAGCUCACGCUCCCACGCUCUGCUGUGCAUCACCGUCCAGGGCACUGACCUCGCCUCUGGGACCAAAACCACCGGCAAGAUGAACCUGGUGGACCUGGCCGGCUCUGAGAGGGUCUGGAAGUCUGGCGCCGAGGGGGAGAGGCUGAAGGAGGCCCAGAACAUCAAUCGCUCCCUGCUGGCGCUCGGCGACGUCAUCCAGGCUCUUCGUGGUCGGCACACUCACAUCCCCUUCAGGAACUCUCGCCUCACGUACCUAUUGCAGGACUCCCUGGGCAAAGGCAGCAAGACCGUCAUGGUGGUGCAGGUGUCUGCCCUGGAGAGCAACGUGGGCGAGACGUUAUGCUCUCUGAAGUUCGCGCAGAGGGUUUGCAAGGUGGAGCUGGGUCCCGCAGCCAGGAAGAUCGAAUCUGGUGGAGGACAGUGGGACUGAGGGCCUUGAACGCACCAGGGAGUUCUACUACAGCGGCUGGCAAAAGCAUCCGCACUGCAAAAAGGGAACUAAAAUGUGUAGCCACAGUUCAGACCUCUGAGGAAGACGCUAACAGGCUCUUCCAGCGUCAGAAGACCAGAAACACUCCAGGACCAGACGACGUCUCCCCCUCAUGCCUGAGAGCCUGUGCUGACCGACUGGCCUCCAUCUUUCCCUCAGAUCUUCAACAAGUCUCUGGAGCUGUGUGAGGUUUCCUAUCGCUUCAAGCCUUCUGCUUCAUCCCAGGUCCCCCAAGAAAGGCACCGUCGUGGGAUUAAAUGAAAACGGCUCGCUCAAGCUAGUGGAGAUGAAAACACCUCCUCACACCGCCUCCCAUCACCAUCCUCCAGCUGCUGUCAGCUUCUACACCGACGUCGUUCUGUCUGUUUUGUGCACAUCCGUCGUCGGUCGUGUGGUUUUGUUUUUCCCACUGAACAGGGCAGGAACAAACAAUUAGGUCUGCAGAGAAAAUAAUCAGGGUGACCUUCCGUCCGUCCAGGACUUGUACGGGUCUAGGGUCAGGAAAAAGGCUGCCCAUCCCUCUGCAGACCCCACACAUUCUGCCCAGAGCAAUUCUACAGUGAGCAAAAACCAGCCGCCACAGAGACAGUGUCUUCCCCCAGGCUGCCAAUCUGACACUUAACUGUGUCCGAUUGCCCAGAUUGAUAGUCUUUACAAAUACCGGUACAUAAAAAAA